UGGUAUUAGAGUAAUAUAGUGGUAUUAGAGUAAUAUAGUGGUAUUACAGUAAUAUAUCCUAUAUUGAGGUACAGUAAUAUAGUGGUAGAGAGGGAGGGAGAGGGAGACAGAGAGGGCAACAGAGAUGGAGAGAGGGAGGCAGAGAGGGAAGGAGGCAGAGAGGGAAGGAGGCAAACAGGGAGUGAGGGAGACAGGAAGGGAUCAAGUCAGGCAGGGAGAGAGGGAGACAGGCAGAGGGAGGCAGGGAGGGAGACAGGCAGAGGGAGGAAGAGAGACAGACAGGGAGACAGGGAGAGAGGCAGGGAGGGAGACAGGCAGAGGGAGGCAGAGAGACAGACAGGGAGACAGGCAGAGGGAGGCAGGGAGGGAGACAGGCAGAGGGAGGCAGAGAGACAGACAGGGAGACAGGGGGAGAGGUAGCAGGAAGGCUGGGAGGCACACGGAUAGCCAGGGAGGGAGGCUCGGCUAGCUACUCAGCUGAGCAGGCAGUAAGACAGGGCUAGCUACUCAACACGGCAGGCAGUAAGGCAGGGCUAGCUACUCAGCAGGGCAGGCAGUAAGCCAGGGCUAGCUACUCAGCAGGGCAGGCAGUAAGCCAGGGCUAGCUACUCAGCAGGGCAGGCAGUAAGGCAGGGCUAGCUACUCAGCAGGGCAGGCAGUAAGACAGGGCUUGCUACUCAGCUGGGCAGGCAGUAAGGCAGGGCUAGCUACUCAGCAGGGCAGGCAGUAAGACAGGGCUAGCUACUCAGCAGGGCAGGCAGUAAGACAGGGCUAGCUACUCAGCAGGGCAGGCAGUAAGGCAGGGCUAGCUACUCAGCAGGGCAGGCAGUAAGGCAGGGCUAGCUACUCAGCAGGGCAGGCAGGCAGUAAGGCAGGGCUAGCUACUCAGCUGGACAGGCAGUAAGGCAGGGCUAGCUGCUCAACAGGGCAGGCAGUAAGGCAGGGCUAGCUACUCAGCUGGACAGGCAGUAAGGCAGGGCUAGCUACUCAGCAGGGCAGGCAGUAAGACAGGGCUAACUACUCAGCAGGGCAGGCAGUAAGGCAGGGCUAGCUACUCAGCAGGGCAGGCAGUAAGACAGGGCUAGCUACUCAGCAGGGCAGGCAGGAGGGCAGGGCUAGCUACUCAGCAGGGCAGGCAGUUAGGCAGGGCUAGCUACUCAGCAGGGCAGGCAGUAAGACAGGGCUAGCUACUCAGCAGGGCAGGCAGUAAGACAGGGCUAGCUACUCAGCAGGGCAGGCAGUAAGACAGGGCUAGCUACUCAGCAGGGCAGGCAGUAAGACGGGGCUAGCUACUCAGCAGGGCAGGCAGUAAGACAGGGCUAGCUACUCAGCAGGGCAGGCAGUAAGGCAGGGCUAGCUACUCAGCAGGGCAGGCAGUAAGACAGGGCUAGCUACUCAGCAG
This 1402-nucleotide long non-coding RNA is filed under the name Salmo salar (Atlantic salmon). RNAcentral describes it as "lncRNA (ENSSSAG00000087721.1)". The record is from RNAcentral. Lineage: Eukaryota; Metazoa; Chordata; Actinopteri; Salmoniformes; Salmonidae.